Molecule: ribosomal RNA, 425 nt
Filed under: Boana calcarata
Lineage: Eukaryota; Metazoa; Chordata; Amphibia; Anura; Hylidae
Also listed under: 1 other name
Description: partial large subunit ribosomal RNA
Rfam family: Bacterial large subunit ribosomal RNA
Source: RNAcentral
CUUGCUAAAAUAUAAGAGGUCCAGCCUGCCCAGUGACCCAGUUCAACGGCCGCGGUAUCCUAACCGUGCGAAGGUAGCGUAAUCACUUGUUCUUUAAAUGGGGACUAGUAUGAAUGGCAUCACGAGGGUUGAACUGUCUCCUUUCUCUAAUCAGUGAAACUAAUCUCCCCGUGAAGAAGCGGGAAUCAUUUUAUAAGACGAGAAGACCCUAUGGAGCUUAAAACAAAUUGACACAUGCUUCCACCUACUUCAAUUCCUGAAUAAAUAUACAAAAUAUAGCAUCAUUGAUUAAUAGUUUUAGAUUGGGGUGAUCAUGGAGCAAAAAACAACCUCCACGACGAAAAGGAAUAUUCCCUGAGCCAAAAGCCACAACUUUAAGCACUAAAAAAUUAACGCAUCUUGACCCAAUUUUUUGAGCAACGAAC